CCUACGGGUGGCAGCAGUAGGGAAUAUUGCUCAAUGGGCGAAACCCUGAACCAGCGACGCCGCGUGAGGGAUGAAGGUUUUCGGGUUGUAAACUCCUUUUGUUAGGGAAGAUAAUGACGGUAUCGAACGAAUAAGCAACGGCUAACUCCGUGCCAGCAGCCGCGGUAUUACGGAGGGUCCAAGCGUUACUCGGAAUCAAUGGGCGGAAAGUGCGCGUAGGCGGGAUAGCAAGUCAGAUGUGAAGUCCUAUGGCUUAACCAUAGAACGGCAUUUGAAACUGUUAGUCUAGAGUAUGGGAGAGGUAGGUGGAAUUCUUGGUGUAGGGGUAAAAUCCGUAGAGAUCAAGAGGAAUACUCAUGGCGAAGGCGACCUGCUAGCACAUAACUGACGCUGAGGCGCGAAAGCGUGGGGAGCAAACAGGAUUAGAUACCCUUGUAGUC
Molecule: ribosomal RNA, 440 nt
Filed under: uncultured bacterium
Lineage: Bacteria
Description: partial 16S ribosomal RNA
Rfam family: Bacterial small subunit ribosomal RNA
Source: RNAcentral